CCUACGGGGGGCAGCAGUCGAGAAUUAUUCACAAUGGGGGAAACCCUGAUGGUGCGACGCCGCGUGGGGGAAUGAAGGUCUUCGGAUGGUAAACCCCUGUCAUGUGGGAGCAAAUGAAAAAGAGAGUACCACAAGAGGAAGAGACGGCUAACUCUGUGCCAGCAGCCGCGGUAAUACAGAGGUCUCAAGCGUUGUUCGGAAUCACUGGGCGUAAAGCGUGCGUAGGCUGUUUCGUAAGUCGUGUGUGAAAGGCGCGGGCUCAACCCGCGGACGGCACAUGAUACUGCGAGACUAGAGUAAUGGAGGGGGAACCGGAAUUCUCGGUGUAGCAGUGAAAUGCGUAGAUAUCGAGAGGAACACUCGUGGCGAAGGCGGGUUCCUGGACAUUAACUGACGCUGAGGCACGAAGGCCAGGGGAGCGAAAGGGAUUAGAUACCCGUGUAGUC
Molecule: ribosomal RNA, 446 nt
Filed under: uncultured bacterium
Lineage: Bacteria
Description: partial 16S ribosomal RNA
Rfam family: Bacterial small subunit ribosomal RNA
Source: RNAcentral